UUAAGCGACUAAGCGUACACGGUGGAUGCCCUGGCAGUCAGAGGCGAUGAAGGACGUGCUAAUCUGCGAUAAGCGUCGGUAAGGUGAUAUGAACCGUUAUAACCGGCGAUUUCCGAAUGGGGAAACCCAGUGUGUUUCGACACACUAUCAUUAACUGAAUCCAUAGGUUAAUGAGGCGAACCGGGGGAACUGAAACAUCUAAGUACCCCGAGGAAAAGAAAUCAACCGAGAUUCCCCCAGUAGCGGCGAGCGAACGGGGAGCAGCCCAGAGCCUGAAUCAGUGUGUGUGUUAGUGGAAGCGUCUGGAAAGGCGCGCGAUACAGGGUGACAGCCCCGUACACAAAAAUGCACAUGCUGUGAGCUCGAUGAGUAGGGCGGGACACGUGGUAUCCUGUCUGAAUAUGGGGGGACCAUCCUCCAAGGCUAAAUACUCCUGACUGACCGAUAGUGAACCAGUACCGUGAGGGAAAGGCGAAAAGAACCCCGGCGAGGGGAGUGAAAAAGAACCUGAAACCGUGUACGUACAAGCAGUGGGAGCACGCUUCGGCGUGUGACUGCGUACCUUUUGUAUAAUGGGUCAGCGACUUAUAUUCUGUAGCAAGGUUAACCGAAUAGGGGAGCCGAAGGGAAACCGAGUCUUAACUGGGCGUUAAGUUGCAGGGUAUAGACCCGAAACCCGGUGAUCUAGCCAUGGGCAGGUUGAAGGUUGGGUAACACUAACUGGAGGACCGAACCGACUAAUGUUGAAAAAUUAGCGGAUGACUUGUGGCUGGGGGUGAAAGGCCAAUCAAACCGGGAGAUAGCUGGUUCUCCCCGAAAGCUAUUUAGGUAGCGCCUCGUGAAUUCAUCUCCGGGGGUAGAGCACUGUUUCGGCAAGGGGGUCAUCCCGACUUACCAACCCGAUGCAAACUGCGAAUACCGGAGAAUGUUAUCACGGGAGACACACGGCGGGUGCUAACGUCCGUCGUGAAGAGGGAAACAACCCAGACCGCCAGCUAAGGUCCCAAAGUCAUGGUUAAGUGGGAAACGAUGUGGGAAGGCCCAGACAGCCAGGAUGUUGGCUUAGAAGCAGCCAUCAUUUAAAGAAAGCGUAAUAGCUCACUGGUCGAGUCGGCCUGCGCGGAAGAUGUAACGGGGCUAAACCAUGCACCGAAGCUGCGGCAGCGACGCUUAUGCGUUGUUGGGUAGGGGAGCGUUCUGUAAGCCUGUGAAGGUGUGCUGUGAGGCAUGCUGGAGGUAUCAGAAGUGCGAAUGCUGACAUAAGUAACGAUAAAGCGGGUGAAAAGCCCGCUCGCCGGAAGACCAAGGGUUCCUGUCCAACGUUAAUCGGGGCAGGGUGAGUCGACCCCUAAGGCGAGGCCGAAAGGCGUAGUCGAUGGGAAACAGGUUAAUAUUCCUGUACUUGGUGUUACUGCGAAGGGGGGACGGAGAAGGCUAUGUUGGCCGGGCGACGGUUGUCCCGGUUUAAGCGUGUAGGCUGGUUUUCCAGGCAAAUCCGGAAAAUCAAGGCUGAGGCGUGAUGACGAGGCACUACGGUGCUGAAGCAACAAAUGCCCUGCUUCCAGGAAAAGCCUCUAAGCAUCAGGUAACAUCAAAUCGUACCCCAAACCGACACAGGUGGUCAGGUAGAGAAUACCAAGGCGCUUGAGAGAACUCGGGUGAAGGAACUAGGCAAAAUGGUGCCGUAACUUCGGGAGAAGGCACGCUGAUAUGUAGGUGAAGCGACUUGCUCGUGGAGCUGAAAUCAGUCGAAGAUACCAGCUGGCUGCAACUGUUUAUUAAAAACACAGCACUGUGCAAACACGAAAGUGGACGUAUACGGUGUGACGCCUGCCCGGUGCCGGAAGGUUAAUUGAUGGGGUCAGCGCAAGCGAAGCUCUUGAUCGAAGCCCCGGUAAACGGCGGCCGUAACUAUAACGGUCCUAAGGUAGCGAAAUUCCUUGUCGGGUAAGUUCCGACCUGCACGAAUGGCGUAAUGAUGGCCAGGCUGUCUCCACCCGAGACUCAGUGAAAUUGAACUCGCUGUGAAGAUGCAGUGUACCCGCGGCAAGACGGAAAGACCCCGUGAACCUUUACUAUAGCUUGACACUGAACAUUGAGCCUUGAUGUGUAGGAUAGGUGGGAGGCUUUGAAGUGUGGACGCCAGUCUGCAUGGAGCCGACCUUGAAAUACCACCCUUUAAUGUUUGAUGUUCUAACGUUGACCCCUAAUCGGGGUUGCGGACAGUGUCUGGUGGGUAGUUUGACUGGGGCGGUCUCCUCCUAAAGAGUAACGGAGGAGCACGAAGGUUGGCUAAUCCUGGUCGGACAUCAGGAGGUUAGUGCAAUGGCAUAAGCCAGCUUGACUGCGAGCGUGACGGCGCGAGCAGGUGCGAAAGCAGGUCAUAGUGAUCCGGUGGUUCUGAAUGGAAGGGCCAUCGCUCAACGGAUAAAAGGUACUCCGGGGAUAACAGGCUGAUACCGCCCAAGAGUUCAUAUCGACGGCGGUGUUUGGCACCUCGAUGUCGGCUCAUCACAUCCUGGGGCUGAAGUAGGUCCCAAGGGUAUGGCUGUUCGCCAUUUAAAGUGGUACGCGAGCUGGGUUUAGAACGUCGUGAGACAGUUCGGUCCCUAUCUGCCGUGGGCGCUGGAGAACUGAGGGGGGCUGCUCCUAGUACGAGAGGACCGGAGUGGACGCAUCACUGGUGUUCGGGUUGUCAUGCCAAUGGCACUGCCCGGUAGCUAAAUGCGGAAGAGAUAAGUGCUGAAAGCAUCUAAGCACGAAACUUGCCCCGAGAUGAGUUCUCCCUGACUCCUUGAGAGUCCUGAAGGAACGUUGAAGACGACGACGUUGAUAGGCCGGGUGUGUAAGCGCAGCGAUGCGUUGAGCUAACCGGUACUAAUGAACCGUGAGGCUUAACCUU
Molecule: ribosomal RNA, 2902 nt
Filed under: Escherichia coli
Lineage: Bacteria; Pseudomonadati; Pseudomonadota; Gammaproteobacteria; Enterobacterales; Enterobacteriaceae
Description: bacterial LSU rRNA
Rfam family: Bacterial large subunit ribosomal RNA
Source: RNAcentral